UACAGAGGGGGCAAGCGUUGUUCGGAAUUACUGGGCGUAAAGGGCUCGUAGGCGGCCAACUAAGUCAGACGUGAAAUCCCCAGGCUCAACCUGGGAACUGCGUCUGAUACUGAUUGGCUUGAAUCCGGGAGAGGGAUGCAGAAUUCCAGGUGUAGCGGUGAAAUGCGUAGAUAUCUGGAGGAAUAUCGGUGGCGAAGGCGGCAUCCUGGACCGGUAUUGACGCUGAGGCGCGAAAGCCAGGGGAGCAAACGGG
Molecule: ribosomal RNA, 253 nt
Filed under: uncultured bacterium
Lineage: Bacteria
Description: partial 16S ribosomal RNA
Rfam family: Bacterial small subunit ribosomal RNA
Source: RNAcentral